This is a long non-coding RNA of Bos taurus (domestic cattle), 1217 nucleotides long. The record is from Ensembl. Lineage: Eukaryota; Metazoa; Chordata; Mammalia; Artiodactyla; Bovidae.
GAAUGGAUCAAUCAGUAGCUUUAUUUCUUAGAAAAUAUCAAACAAGAUUAAAUACUGUAGAAUUUCAGAGCUGGUCUCUUUCUUCAAAGGAAAUCUUACGGGGAAACCCAAUAUUAAAAAAAGAAAGUUUAGCUGCUCUGAUGAAGGGUGAGGGGGCUGAAUGAUGCUUCUGGUCCUCCUGGCACAGGGGGCCCUCACUGGCCAAGUUCAACCUUCCCAGGUGAUGGUUGUCCAUCUUCUCCUUGACCACCUCUAGAGAUCAAAGCUUCUUUACCACUAAACUACUUCCAUUUUCAGUACAGCUCAAAGCUUUUCAAAUAUUCUUCUUUCCUUUGAGCCCAGAUAAGCCUUCAUAUCACCCCUUAGCACUAGCGCUGAUUCUUUUCUUGGGGUGAAGCGAGGAGACCUAGUUCAUUUUCAUUUGAAGGCUUUUCUCAUUUCACAAUCAGGCCUACUGCCCCCUAAACAGGGGUUCUCAGCUCAACUCAUCCGAGGAGCUUUUAACACUCCUGGUAUCCAGAUUGCACUUGAAAUCUAGGUAAAUUCAAAGUGUCUCAGGAAGACACAAGGUACAGCCCUGGCUGCUAAGGAGAGCCUGUGCCAUAGCCUCUGCUGCCCAAGGCGAAUGUGACCACCUUUUCUACCUGAUCCUUAGUUGACAUCAUUUUAUAGUUGCUCAUCAUCCUCUCUGCUUUCUUCUCAGAGUGCUACAUCGUCCACACACAAACGCUGAAGAACAUAUUUCAUCGGUUCCUAUCUCCAUGCGUUAACUUCUCUUUAUUGAAUGACUCAUAGCCAUCAAGUCCAAGGAAGCAUAAAGGGGAUAACAUCUACGUAAAAACUGGUUUCCAUCAACCGCUCUGGGCUGCAGAGCGUUAUUGAGAUAAACAUAGUAACUGUGAUGAAAGCUUCAUCUCAAACCCACGUGUUCCCUCCUCAUUUGGACCCUCAUUUCUCCCCUAUUAGAGCAGAGGCUACAGAAGAAAGAAAAAGAAAGAAAGAAAGGAGGAAGGGAGGAAGGAAAGAGGAAGACAGAGAGAACGAAAGAAAAAGGAAGGAAGGAAGAAAACCAACCUGGAGAUAACUCAUAGCCUCAUAGCAAGCGCCAUAUGAGUCAUUUAAGAAAAAAAAAAAAAAAAAAGAGCCACCACAACCUUCAGCAGAAGAGAACCAUUGAGCUCAAGUUGGGAAAAAAAAUAUGUAUGUAUGUAUGUGUG